AGAAGAUGAGUCUCUCUAGGACUACAUCAAUUGCUUUAAUGUUACAACCUUAGAGAUACGUGACUUGGAUCAAUCAAUGACCAUGAUUGCUCUCAAAGCUAGAUUGCUCAAGAAUAAUUUUCUCUUCUCGCUUGAGAAGAGGUAUUCUAAAGACUUCAUUGAGAUGUUGAUGAGAAUAGAAAAGUAUGCAAACAUAGAGGAGACAUGGGCUCG
RNAcentral lists this long non-coding RNA (213 nucleotides) under Elaeis guineensis (African oil palm). RNAcentral describes it as "long non-coding RNA (EGUI_LNC027019)". Lineage: Eukaryota; Viridiplantae; Streptophyta; Magnoliopsida; Arecales; Arecaceae. The record is from RNAcentral.